GGGCCUAUAGCUCAGGUGGUUAGAGCGCACGCCUGAUAAGCGUGAGGUCGAUGGUUCGAGUCCAUUUAGGCCCA
Molecule: transfer RNA, 74 nt
Filed under: Enterococcus casseliflavus
Lineage: Bacteria; Bacillati; Bacillota; Bacilli; Lactobacillales; Enterococcaceae
Also listed under: 1 other name
Description: tRNA-Ile
Rfam family: tRNA
About the family: Transfer RNA (tRNA) molecules are approximately 80 nucleotides in length.
Source: RNAcentral